RNAcentral lists this small RNA (918 nucleotides) under Pan troglodytes (chimpanzee). RNAcentral describes it as "retained intron". Lineage: Eukaryota; Metazoa; Chordata; Mammalia; Primates; Hominidae. The record is from RNAcentral.
CUUUCCUUUCGGUGUGGUGAGUAAGCGCAGUUGUCGUCUCUUGCAGUGCCGUUGCUGGUUCUCACACCUUUUAGGUCUGUUCUGGUCUUCCGUUCCGACUCUCUCUUUUUCGUUGCAGCCACUGAAGAUCCUGGUGUCGCCAUGGGCCGCCGCCCCGCCCGUUGUUACCGGUAUUGUAAGAACAAGCCGUACCCAAAGUCUCGCUUCUGCCGAGGUGUCCCUGGUAAGUAGUGGAAGAGCCCCUGCACUGGUUGGCUCUGCGGACUCAGCGUCCGUCUGUGACACCCCCUGCAUACUUACCCAAUCCUUUUAGAUGCCAAGAUUCGCAUUUUUGACCUGGGGCGGAAAAAGGCAAAAGUGGAUGAGUUUCCGCUUUGUGGCCACAUGGUGUCAGAUGAAUAUGAGCAGCUGUCCUCUGAAGCCCUGGAGGCUGCCCGAAUUUGUGCGAAUAAGUACAUGGUAAAAAGUUGUGGCAAAGAUGGCUUCCAUAUCCGGGUGCGGCUCCACCCCUUCCACGUCAUCCGCAUCAACAAGAUGUUGUCCUGUGCUGGGGCUGACAGGCUCCAAACAGGCAUGCGAGGUGCCUUUGGAAAGCCCCAGGGCACUGUGGCCAGGGUUCACAUUGGCCAAGUUAUCAUGUCCAUCCGCACCAAGCUGCAGAACAAGGAGCAUGUGAUUGAGGCCCUGCGCAGGGCCAAGUUCAAGUUUCCUGGCCGCCAGAAGGUAUGUAGUGCUGCAGCCCCCUUCUCCCACCUUUCUUUGCCCCAGGCCUCCUGACUCAGUUCUUUCCAUUGCUCCGUAGAUCCACAUCUCAAAGAAGUGGGGCUUCACCAAGUUCAAUGCUGAUGAAUUUGAAGACAUGGUGGCUGAAAAGCGGCUCAUCCCAGAUGGCUGUGGGGUCAAGUACAUCCCCAAUCG